This 501-nucleotide ribosomal RNA is filed under the name uncultured bacterium. RNAcentral's name for it is "partial 16S ribosomal RNA". It matches the Rfam family "Bacterial small subunit ribosomal RNA", at positions 30 to 523 of the family's 1533-position model. The record is from RNAcentral.
AUUGAACGCUGGCGGCAGGCUUAACACAUGCAAGUCGAGCGGGGGAAGGUAGCUUGCUACCGGACCUAGCGGCGGACGGGUGAGUAAUGCUUAGGAAUCUGCCUAUUAGUGGGGGACAACAUCUCGAAAGGGAUGCUAAUACCGCAUACGUCCUACGGGAGAAAGCAGGGGAUCUUCGGACCUUGCGCUAAUAGAUGAGCCUAAGUCGGAUUAGCUAGUCGGUGGGGUAAAGGCCUACCAAGGCGACGAUCUGUAGCGGGUCUGAGAGGAGGAUCCGCCACACUGGGACUGGGACACGGGCCAGACUCCUACGGGAGGCAGCAGUGGGGAAUAUUGGACAAUGGGGGGAACCCUGAUCCAGCCAUGCCGCGUGUGUGAAGAAAGCCUUAUGGUUGUAAAGCACUUUAAGCGAGGAGGAGGCUACUCUAGUUAAUACCUAGGGAUAGUGGACGUUACUCGCGGAAUAAGCACCGGCUAACUCUGUGCCAGCAGCCGCCGUAA